This 497-nucleotide ribosomal RNA is filed under the name uncultured bacterium. Its description in RNAcentral is "partial 16S ribosomal RNA". It matches the Rfam family "Bacterial small subunit ribosomal RNA", at positions 28 to 507 of the family's 1533-position model. The record is from RNAcentral.
GAUGAACGCUGGCGGCGUGCCUAAUACAUGCAAGUCGAGCGAACAAACGAGGGUUUUCCUCCUCUUACGUUUUGGGCGGGCGUGUGAGUCACACGUGUAUACCCUCUCUUUACGACUGAGAUCACUUCGAGACACCUGAUCUAAUACCGUAUUAUAUAUUGAACCGUAUGGUUCAAUAGUGAACGACGUUUUUGCUGUCACUUAUUGAUCCUUCCUCGCCGCAUUUGCUAGUUGGUAAGGUAACGGCUUACCAAGGCAAUGAUUCGUAGCCGACCUGAGAGGGUGAUGGGCAACACUGGAACUGAGAAACGGUCCAGACUCCUACGGGAGGCAGCAGAAGGGAAUCUUGGGAAAUGGGCGAAAGCCUGACGGAGAAAGGCGGCGUGAGUGAGGAAGGUCUUCGGAUCGAAAAACUCUUUGAAUAGGGAGGAAGAGUGGUGGAAGGAAAAAUGCACGUUUUGACGGUACCUAAUCAGAAAGCCACGGCUAACUACGUG